This is a long non-coding RNA of Gallus gallus (chicken), 642 nucleotides long. The record is from Ensembl. NCBI's taxonomy places the organism in Eukaryota, Metazoa, Chordata, Aves, Galliformes, Phasianidae.
GGCAGUGAAGGUGAGGGUAUUUCACUGGAGAUCCCUGCAUGUCUGAGACCUUCUGAAGGCAAAACCCAGGAACAGCCUCAAAAUUAUUUCCUGCCAGAAGCAGAGGGUUAAAGAGGGAAGCGAGAAGGAGGAGACGGCGCAGGGCUCAGGGAGCGUGAGAAAACCAACGGCACACAGCAGUUCAGAGCCCCACCUCGCCCAGGGCAGGAGGAGCAGAGCCUACAGCACCCCAGGAAAGUCAGAGACAGCACUGCAGCCCGUGGAGCUGCAGGAAGAGGAGUAAAGCCAUGCACUGAAUUAGCCUGCACAGCAGCCGAUGGGAUCAUGAGAACCAAUGGAGUUUUUCACAGUAUUUUUUCCUUAUGGAAUUUGCCCUCUCAGCCUUCUCUUUCCCAGGCUGAACAGCCCCAGGGCUCUCAGCCCUUCCCCAUAAGGGAGAUGCUAUGCUGGCCACACUCUUUGUGAUGCACCCCAGGGUACCAUUGGCCUUCUUGGCCAUCAGAGCACACUGCAGGCUCAUGGUCAAUGUUAGUCAACCACUGGUCAAUAUGGAUGUGCCCCAGGGCUGCUCCUUCCCUAAGUGCCCAGGACGAAGAGCAUCCUCUGCCUGGACCAGGGAAGCCAGGGGUUAUCCUUAUUCCA